CUGGCUCAGGAUGAACGCUAGCUACAGGCUUAACACAUGCAAGUCGCGGGGCAUCAUGGCAUGUAGCAAUACAUGCUGAUGGCGACCGGCGGAUGGGUGAGUAACGCGUAUCCAACCUGGCCCUAUCUCGGGUACAGCCCCUCGAAAGAGGGAUUAAUCCCCGAUGUUCCCUGGGAUCCGCAUGUUUUCCAGGGCAAAGGCAUUUGUCGGAUAGGGAUGGGGAUGCGUUCCAUUAGGCAGUCGGCGGGGUAACGGCCCACCGAGCCGACGAUGGAUAGGGGUUCUGAGAGGAAGGCCCCCCACACUGGGACUGAGACACGGCCCAGACUCCUACGGGAGGCAGCAGUGAGGAAUAUUGGUCAAUGGCGGUAACGCUGAACCAGCCAAGUAGCGUGAGGGAUUACGGCCUAUGGGUUUAAACCUCUUUUGUUAGGGAGCAACCGGUGGCACUAGUGCCAUUCUGCGAGUACCUUUCGAAUAAGCAUCGGCUAACUCCGUGCCAGCAGCGGC
RNAcentral lists this ribosomal RNA (510 nucleotides) under uncultured bacterium. RNAcentral's name for it is "bacterial SSU rRNA". It matches the Rfam family "Bacterial small subunit ribosomal RNA", at positions 19 to 518 of the family's 1533-position model. The record is from RNAcentral.